UGCCGCGUGCAGGAUGACUGCCCUAUGGGUUGUAAACUGCUUUUGUCCAGGAAUAAACCUAAAUACGUGUAUUUAGCUGAAUGUACUGGAAGAAUAAGGAUCGGCUAACUCCGUGCCAGCAGCCGCGGUAAU
RNAcentral lists this ribosomal RNA (132 nucleotides) under uncultured Sphingobacterium sp. Its description in RNAcentral is "partial 16S ribosomal RNA". It matches the Rfam family "Bacterial small subunit ribosomal RNA", at positions 395 to 524 of the family's 1533-position model. Lineage: Bacteria; Pseudomonadati; Bacteroidota; Sphingobacteriia; Sphingobacteriales; Sphingobacteriaceae. The record is from RNAcentral.